This 77-nucleotide transfer RNA is filed under the name Bacillota bacterium. RNAcentral describes it as "Firmicutes bacterium (sediment metagenome) tRNA-Arg". It matches the Rfam family "tRNA". From Rfam's summary of the family: Transfer RNA (tRNA) molecules are approximately 80 nucleotides in length. Their secondary structure includes four short double-helical elements and three loops (D, anti-codon, and T loops). RNAcentral also lists the same sequence under 2 other names. Lineage: Bacteria; Bacillati; Bacillota. The record is from RNAcentral.
GCGCCCGUAGCUCAGCAGGAUAGAGCGGGGGCCUCCUAAGCCCCAGGCCGCCGGUUCGAUUCCGGCCGGGCGCGCCA